ACGGGUGAGUAAUACAUCGGAACGUAUCCUGGAGUGGGGGAUAGCCCGGCGAAAGCCGGAUUAAUACCGCAUACGCUCUGAGGAGGAAAGCGGGGGACCUUCGGGCCUCGCGCUCAAGGGGCGGCCGAUGGCGGAUUAGGUAGUUGGUGGGGUAAAGGCCUACCAAGCCAACGAUCCGUAGCUGGUCUGAGAGGACGACCAGCCACACUGGGACUGAGACACGGCCCAGACUCCUACGGGAGGCAGCAGUGGGGAAUUUUGGACAAUGGGGGCAACCCUGAUCCAGCAAUGCCGCGUGUGUGAAGAAGGCCUUCGGGUUGUAAAGCACUUUUGUCCGGAAAGAAAUCAUCGGGGCCAAUACCCCUGGUGGAUGACGGUACCGGAAGAAUAAGCACCGGCUAACUACGUGCCAGCAGCCGCGGUAAUACGUAGGGUGCGAGCGUUAAUCGGAAUUACUGGGCGUAAAGCGUGCGCAGGCGGUGCUGUAAGACCGAUGUGAAAUCCCCGGGCUUAACCUGGGAACUGCAUUGGUGACUGCAGCGCUGGAGUAUGGCAGAGGGGGGUGGAAUUCCACGU
RNAcentral lists this ribosomal RNA (576 nucleotides) under uncultured bacterium. RNAcentral describes it as "bacterial SSU rRNA". It matches the Rfam family "Bacterial small subunit ribosomal RNA", at positions 102 to 674 of the family's 1533-position model. The record is from RNAcentral.